UGAGCAAUCUGCCCUUCUCAUCGGAAUAAGCGUUGGAAACGACGUCUAAUGCCGAAUACGACCUCCUUUCGCAUGAUCGGAGGUGGAAAGCUCCGGCGGAGAUGGAUGAGCUCGCGGCCUAUCAGCUUGUUGGUGAGGUAACGGCUCACCAAGGCUUCGACGGGUAGCCGGCCUGAGAGGGCGACCGGCCACACUGGGACUGAGAUACGGCCCAGACUCCGUAGGAGG
This 228-nucleotide ribosomal RNA is filed under the name uncultured bacterium. RNAcentral's name for it is "partial 16S ribosomal RNA". It matches the Rfam family "Bacterial small subunit ribosomal RNA", at positions 118 to 348 of the family's 1533-position model. The record is from RNAcentral.